CAGCAGCCACGGUAAAACGAAGGGGGCUAGCGUUGUUCGGAAUUACUGGGCGUAAAGCGCACGUAGGCGGACAUUUAAGUCAGGGGUGAAAUCCCGGGGCUCAACCCCGGAACUGCCUUUGAUACUGGGUGUCUAGAGUAUGGAAGAGGUGAGUGGAAUUCCGAGUGUAGAGGUGAAAUUCGUAGAUAUUCGGAGGAACACCAGUGGCGAAGGCGGCUCACUGGUCCAUUACUGACGCUGAGGUGCGAAAGCGUGGGGAGCAAACAGGAUUAGAUACCCCUGUAGUCCCUGUCUCUUAUAC
Molecule: ribosomal RNA, 301 nt
Filed under: uncultured bacterium
Lineage: Bacteria
Description: partial 16S ribosomal RNA
Rfam family: Bacterial small subunit ribosomal RNA
Source: RNAcentral